RNAcentral lists this ribosomal RNA (468 nucleotides) under uncultured bacterium. RNAcentral's name for it is "partial 16S ribosomal RNA". It matches the Rfam family "Bacterial small subunit ribosomal RNA", at positions 28 to 507 of the family's 1533-position model. The record is from RNAcentral.
GACGAACGCUGGCGGCGUGCUUAACACAUGCAAGUCGAACGGAAAGGCCCUGCUUUUGUGGGGUGCUCGAGUGGCGAACGGGUGAGUAACACGUGAGUAACCUGCCCUUGACUUUGGGAUAACUCCAGGAAACUGGGGCUAAUACCGGAUAGGAGCUCCUGCUGCAUGGUGGGGGUUGGAAAGUUUCGGCGGUUGGGGAUGGACUCGCGGCUUAUCAGCUUGUUGGUGGGGUAGUGGCUUACCAAGGCUUUGACGGGUAGCCGGCCUGAGAGGGUGACCGGCCACAUUGGGGCUGAGAUACGGCCCAGACUCCUACGGGAGGCAGCAGUGGGGAAUAUUGCACAAUGGGCGGAAGCCUGAUGCAGCAACGCCGCGUGCGGGAUGACGGCCUUCGGGUUGUAAACCGCUUUCGCCUGUGACGAAGCGUGAGUGACGGUAAUGGGUAAAGAAGCACCGGCUAACUACGUG